GCCCAGCUUCUUUCAAUCCACCAUGGUC
RNAcentral lists this small RNA (28 nucleotides) under Bombyx mori (domestic silkworm). Its description in RNAcentral is "ovarian small RNA-16636". Lineage: Eukaryota; Metazoa; Arthropoda; Insecta; Lepidoptera; Bombycidae. The record is from RNAcentral.